AGAGUUUGAUCAUGGCUCAGAUUGAACGCUAGCGGAAUGCCUUACACAUGCAAGUCGAACGGCAGCGCGGACUUCGGUCUGGCGGCGAGUGGCGAACGGGUGAGUAAUGUAUCGGAACGUGCCCAGUAGCGGGGGACAACCACUCGAAAGAGUGGCUAAUACCGCAUACGCCCUACGGGGAAAGGGGGGGAUCGCAAGACCUCUCACUAUUGGAGCGGCCGAUAUCGGAUCAGCUAGUUGGUGGGGUAAAGGCCUACCAAGGCGACGAUCCGUAGCUGGUUUGAGAGGACGACCAGCCACACUGGGACUGAGACACGGCCCAGACUCCUACGGGAGGCAGCAGUGGGGAAUUUUGGACAAUGGGGGAAACCCUGAUCCAGCCAUUCUGCGUGUGCGAUGAAGGCCUUCGGGUUGUAAAGCACUUUUGGCAGGAAAGAAAUCGUGUGGGUUAAUACCCUGCGCGGAUGACGGUACCUGCAGAAUAAGCACCGGCUAACUACGUG
RNAcentral lists this ribosomal RNA (503 nucleotides) under uncultured bacterium. RNAcentral describes it as "bacterial SSU rRNA". It matches the Rfam family "Bacterial small subunit ribosomal RNA", at positions 8 to 507 of the family's 1533-position model. The record is from RNAcentral.